This is a transfer RNA of Toxocara canis (dog roundworm), 72 nucleotides long. It matches the Rfam family "tRNA". Rfam says of the family: Transfer RNA (tRNA) molecules are approximately 80 nucleotides in length. Their secondary structure includes four short double-helical elements and three loops (D, anti-codon, and T loops). NCBI's taxonomy places the organism in Eukaryota, Metazoa, Nematoda, Chromadorea, Rhabditida, Toxocaridae. The record is from Rfam.
GCAGCAACAGCUCAGUGGUAGAGCCCCCGCUUCGCGUUCGGGGAGACCUGGGUUCGGUCCCCGGUUGCUUCC